GUAUUUGUUUUUAAAGGCACAAGGCCAAUUGCAACAUUCUUAUACAUUCAUAUGGGGUAUGUGAAAACAUAGACCUGAAUACAAGAAAAGCUGGCUUACGCACAGCAAUUCUCAAACCGAGUUUCCUCGAAAUGUUCAGGAUCUACGCAAGGUGCACAGGUGGUUAAAGAUGGAGUCGGCGUGCACAUGCUCCUAGGAGCCAGCAGCAACCUAACCAAGUUUAUUCAAUAAUGAUCCUUCCGCAGGUUCACCUACGGAAA
RNAcentral lists this unclassified non-coding RNA (260 nucleotides) under uncultured fungus. RNAcentral's name for it is "sequence contains ITS1". Lineage: Eukaryota; Fungi. The record is from RNAcentral.